AGAAGGGGAACCUGAGCGUUCUCCGCUUCGAGUUUCUCCACGUGUGAAGUGGGAAUGAUAGUGAUAUCUCGUGCUUUAGCUGUCAAGGGAAGAAGGAGAAGGUAUUUAUUAGAGGCCCUACGACGUGGUUCACCCAAAUGCUAAAGUGCCUCAGGUGAGGAGCUGAUGAUAAUCAGUAAUUAUCCAAGAAUGGAAGCUCAACAAAGGCAGGGGCCUUGUCUGUGUUGUUUCGGGCUGUGCUCUCAGCAUUUAGAACACAUCCUGGCAUGAGACUGCUGCAGGAAUCCUGAUCAGCGGUGAUGGCAAUGAGAGAUAAGUGGAUCCAACAUUAUGAUUAGGCGAUGAAUUGGCGUAACUUGGUAAUUGCUAGUGAAAAGAGUGAGAGGGGGGAGUGAGAGGAGAAUCACACAGAAUUGGCUUUCCUAGAUGGGCGCAGAGGUAUCUGGGAAGGCCCCUCCCCUCAGAAACGUCUCUCCCUCCAGCCCAGCACUGUCCUAGGGUUAGAGAAGGACUGUUUCUUGGUGAGCACUUGGAUGCCAAAAGUCUCCCCAGGCACCACAUAUUGCAAGAGUGACUAACUCUGCUUGGGAGAAUUGAAACUAGUUCAGAGAGAAAGGGGUAUUUAGGCUGGGUCUUGCAGAUAGUAUAAAAGCUUCCAGUUCCAUAAAGGGUGAGCUCUAUGGUGAGAAGGCAUGUUAAGGGAAGGAUAUUCUCGGGCAAGGGUGAUGGAGGAUAAUAGGAAGUACAAAGGCACAAAAGCAGGGGAGAAUAAUUUGGGGGGUGGUGAGUCAUUCCAUGUGGCUGCAAUAUGGGAGGCAUGUUGGGGGAGAAAAUAGUGGGAAAUAAAGCAGGACCAACAGUUUGUGAAGAGCCCAAGCGCCUAUAAUGUAGUCCAACUGGUCUUCUCCCUCGAGCUGGUGGCAGAGUAAAAGGCACAAACCGUCUGAACAGUAAUUUGGAAAUAUAUAUCAGAAGCCAUUAAAAUGAUUCUAAUCUCUGUCCUAGUGAUCCUGAUUCCUAGAGAUUGUUCCUAAGGGACUACUUUUUAAAGGAUGAAGGAUAAAGGAUAAAGUGAGCAAUAUUCAUUAAGCUAUUUAUUGCAUCAUUAUUGGAAAUAGUGAAAAAUUGGGAAACAACCAAUGUUUCCCUCAAAGGAAAAUGCUCAAGUAAAAAAUGGUGCCUUCACCCAAUGAAUAAGCAAUAGGCCGACUUGGUGUGUCUGUCAGAAUUUAGAUGGGCUAACUCAGGAAGCCUACUGGGCCCAGGGGAGGGGAAAAGUUCUGUUGUGGGCAAGAGAGGAAGGUUGGAAGCAGAGUGGACCACCAGACCAAGCCUGUGUAGACACCAGGGGUUGGCAAUAAGUAGCAAAAUGGAAAAAGCUGUAUGAUACAAUGCUGAGCAAUAAAAAUAAAAUAUGUAAUUGUAUCAGUGAUGAAAGCAGCCAAAAAAAAAAAAAAAUUACACUACUGACAAUGGCAGGAAAGGGCAAGGAGAAAUGGAAACAGAUAACGUGUGAGUGGGUGCUCUUUCCUCUUUCUCUUAAUUUUCUGUUGUUAUCAUUGUAUUAUUUGCACAAUAAAACCCAAUUUACAAUGAAAGAAGGAGACACUGAGGAAAUAUGAGCCCCUGGGAUAGGUCCACGGCCAUGCCUUCAAGUCCAGCUGCAGCUCCGAGCCUUCCAAGCCAUUCUGCCGGGAGCACUCCUGAAAGGAGCUGGCUUCUUCUGGACAAAGGAGGGAAGGAGAGCAACUUCGUGUGUGACCCACACCAAGGGGCUUCAAGUCUUUGCCAUCGCGCUCUAGAUGUUGGAGUCACUGCUACAUCCCAGGGGGAGCUUUCCCCUUAGCUGGGAAGGGUGGCUGUGACCAGUGCUCUCCAGCCCCAGCCUCUUUGCCUCUGAUGGUUGUUGCGGUUCCCGGUUCCUUCACAGUGGGCUCUCCUGGCUGGGGGUUAGGUUCCGCCUUGCUGGGGGAAGGGCUAGCAUGAGAUUCUCUCUGAUUCAGGGACAGAGGCCAAAGUGACCCUAGCCAGCAAAAAGAGCAGUGGAGAUAGCAACAUCCAUGACUGGGUGUCAGAGCUGAGGCCCAGUGAUUUUUCUUUUGUUCAUGCUCAACACCCCCUACCUCACUUGACUUCACUGUGACCUCUAGACCACCAAUCCUUUGACAAUUUCAUGCAUUUGCUUGUGCUGUUCUCUCAAUCUGGAGUGCCCUUGCUUAUGCUUCCUGACAGAGCUAAACCCUGCCCAUCCUUUCAUACCACUUCCUUGAUGAAACUCCCCAAUUUCCUUUUGGGGAAUGAAUCAUUCCCUCCUCUGGCUCCCACAGUACUUGAUUUGUAUCUUUCCCUUGGCAAUUGUAUUUUUCUGUAGCGUGUUAUAGUUAAUCAUGUCCACGUCUGUUUCUCCCACUAAAUGGGGAGCCUCUCAAGGUGGCCAAGGAACCUGUCUUAUCCAACUCUGACUCCUCACAGAGCGUGGCCAACCUCUGGCAUAUGGUAGGUGCUCAGUCAAUGUGCGGAAUGACAUUAAAUUACAAUGGGUGAGUUCUUCUACUUUCUAUGUCAUAGACUCUCUGGGAAAGCUGUUGAGAUGGUAGACAGAUGACCAGUUGGUUUUAUACCUAUUUCUUUCCUGUGCAUUUUGAAAGAGGCAGGAAGAGGAAGAGAAUUAAAGCUAUCUGUGGAUCCGUAUUCCAGAGAUUUCAGCCAGGGAUCCUGAGAGGGGAUAAUAAUAUAUAUAAUAGCUAACAUGUGCAGAGACUCUUAUUUAUACUUUCACACCCAUUAACUCUGCUGGGUCUCACCAGGACUCUAGGAAAUAGGCUGAGUGGCAGCAUUUGGCUUGUCCUAAUGUUAACGGUCAAGAAAACCAAGGCUCAGAAAAACAAAGUAAUUUGCUCACGAAUCCAUCAACUCAAAGUACUGAGCUGGGACUCAAACCCAGAUCUGUUGACUCUAAAUCCCAUGCUCUUGAUAUUGUAGAGGUGACAAGGACGAAGGCUCUCCUCCUCCUGAUAAACAUUUGCAGAAGGAAACCCAUAGCUUAAGCCUUGGUAAGGUGCAUCGGCAUCAGGUCCCCCUCGUGCAUGUUUAUCUGCUGAUCUAGGGGUUUAGCUCCUCAAGGGUAAGGACCACACCUAUUCCUUUAUUUCUUUUCCCCCAAAGCCUCAGGCCUUUGGCAAACCCCACACUUCUGCUGGGUCUUGGUUUCCCUGUCUGUAAAAUGAGGGGGCUGAGCUAGAAGUUUAAAUUGGGUCACAUUCCCACCAGUGCCCAGCGCAGAGCCUCGCCCCGCAGCGCCCACCGCCUUCCCCCUGGACGACUCCCCAGCUCCAACGCUAGAGG
Mirounga angustirostris (Northern elephant seal) is the source of this 3345-nucleotide long non-coding RNA. RefSeq lists it as uncharacterized. Lineage: Eukaryota; Metazoa; Chordata; Mammalia; Carnivora; Phocidae. The transcript has 4 exons. The record is from RefSeq and is a predicted model, not a curated record.